RNAcentral lists this non-coding RNA (745 nucleotides) under Phascolarctobacterium sp. CAG:266. RNAcentral describes it as "Bacterial small subunit ribosomal RNA". It matches the Rfam family "Bacterial small subunit ribosomal RNA", at positions 1 to 722 of the family's 1533-position model. The record is from Rfam by way of RNAcentral. Lineage: Bacteria; Bacillati; Bacillota; Negativicutes; Acidaminococcales; Acidaminococcaceae.
AUAUUGGAGAGUUUGAUCCUGGCUCAGGACGAACGCUGGCGGCGUGCCUAACACAUGCAAGUCGAACGGAAAAUUGAGCUUCGGUUCAAUUUUUAGUGGCGAACGGGUGAGUAACGCGUAGGCAACCUGCCCUUUAGACGGGGACAACAUUCCGAAAGGGAUGCUAAUACCGGAUGUGACGCUCCUAUCGCAUGACGGGAGCGUGAAAGAUGGCCUCUACACGUAAGCUAUCGCUAAAGGAUGGGCCUGCGUCUGAUUAGCUAGUUGGUAGUGUAACGGACAACCAAGGCGAUGAUCAGUAGCCGGUCUGAGAGGAUGAACGGCCACAUUGGGACUGAGACACGGCCCAGACUCCUACGGGAGGCAGCAGUGGGGAAUCUUCCGCAAUGGGCGAAAGCCUGACGGAGCAACGCCGCGUGAGUGAAGAAGGUCUUCGGAUUGUAAAGCUCUGUUGUACAUGACGAAUGUGCCGGUUGUGAAUAAUGACUGGCAAUGACGGUAGUGUACGAGGAAGCCACGGCUAACUACGUGCCAGCAGCCGCGGUAAUACGUAGGUGGCAAGCGUUGUCCGGAAUUAUUGGGCGUAAAGAGCAUGUAGGCGGCCUAUUAAGUCGGGCGUGAAAAUGCGGGGCUCAACCCCGUAUGGCGCCCGAUACUGGUGGGCUUGAGUGCAGGAGAGGAAAGGGGAAUUCCCAGUGUAGCGGUGAAAUGCGUAGAUAUUGGGAGGAACACCAGUGGCGAAGGC